UACGUAGGGGGCAAGCGUUAUCCGGAUUUACUGGGUGUAAAGGGAGCGUAGACGGUUAUGCAAGUCAGAAGUGAAAGCCCAAAGCUCAACUUCGGGACUGCUUUUGAAACUGUGUAACUAGAGUGCAGGAGGGGUAAGCGGAAUUCCUAGUGUAGCGGUGAAAUGCGUAGAUAUUAGGAGGAACACCGGCGGCGAAGGCGGCCUGCUGGACCGAAACUGACGUUGAGGCUCGAAAGCGUGGGGAGCAAACAGG
Molecule: ribosomal RNA, 253 nt
Filed under: uncultured bacterium
Lineage: Bacteria
Description: partial 16S ribosomal RNA
Rfam family: Bacterial small subunit ribosomal RNA
Source: RNAcentral